UGGGGAAUAUUGGACAAUGGGCGCAAGCCUGAUCCAGCCAUGCCGCGUGAGUGAUGAAGGCUCUAGGGUUGUAAAGCUCUUUCACCGGUGAAGAUAAUGACGGUAACCGGAGAAGAAGCCCCGGCUAACUUCGUGCCAGCAGCCGCGGUAAUACGAAGGGGGCUAGCGUUGUUCGGAUUUACUGGGCGUAAAGCGCACGUAGGCGGACUUUUAAGUCAGGGGUGAAAUCCCGGGGCUCAACCCCGGAACUGCCUUUGAUACUGGAAGUCUUGAGUAUGGUAGAGGUGAGUGGAAUUCCGAGUGUAGAGGUGAAAUUCGUAGAUAUUCGGAGAAGCACCAGUGGCGAAGGCGGCUCACUGGACCAUUACUGACGCUGAGGUGCGAAAGCGUGGGGAGCAAACAGG
Molecule: ribosomal RNA, 404 nt
Filed under: Actinomycetes bacterium
Lineage: Bacteria; Bacillati; Actinomycetota; Actinomycetes
Description: Actinobacteria bacterium partial 16S ribosomal RNA
Rfam family: Bacterial small subunit ribosomal RNA
Source: RNAcentral